UACGUAGGGGGCGAGCGUUGUCCGGAUUUAUUGGGCGUAAAGAGCUCGUAGGCGGUUUGGUAAGUCGGGUGUGAAAUCUCCACGCUCAACGUGGAGGGGCCACUCGAUACUGCCAUGACUCGAGUCCGGUAGAGGAGUGUGGAAUUCCCGGUGUAGCGGUGAAAUGCGCAGAUAUCGGGAGGAACACCGGUGGCGAAGGCGGCGAUCUGGACGAUGACUGACGCUGAGACGCGAAAGCGUGGGGAGCAAACAGG
This 254-nucleotide ribosomal RNA is filed under the name uncultured bacterium. Its description in RNAcentral is "partial 16S ribosomal RNA". It matches the Rfam family "Bacterial small subunit ribosomal RNA", at positions 524 to 776 of the family's 1533-position model. The record is from RNAcentral.